GGGAGGAUAUUCAAUAAAAAAAAUCUGGUCUGCUUCUCUUUCUUCAACACAAGCAGUAUUCUUCCUCCAUGAACACUAGUCCAAAGGUCCCUUCAAAUAUCAUAUAAAUCUCCGUAAGUAUCAUCUCUAAAACCAGCCUUUAACAGUCACGAAGACCACCUGAAAAUACAAGAAAAUAGCCACUAAAACCUCCAAAUACUACCUCAAAUCCCUUCCCAAAUAAAACAACGAAAAUUAGUCAAGACACACCUCACAAAACAACUCCAUAACCACCGAGUGCUAGUAUCGAAAUUUUGGAGCUUCGAGGUUACAUAUUGUUGGUUCUGUUUUGUUGUUCGUGAGGUCCGUCGAGGUUGCCGCCGGCAAAGGUUUAUGGUCAUGGUCUUUGUUCUUGGCUCGAUGGUUGAGUUACAGAAAUGUAAAGUUUGAUCCAGUCAAUAUAAAGGUUCAUUUCUCCAUGUAAUCUCGUGCUCUUUCUUUCUGUUGUUAUGUUAAUUGUGUGAUAUUUUCGUUGAAUUUUUUGUGCUGGAAUUAUAGUUAGUCUUUUCUUUAAUUGAAUGAAUUUUCUUGGUUGAAUACAUUUGUGAUAUAAAUUGAUGAAGUAGUAUAUGUGACUAACAGUGAAUAAUUUGAGAAUUAGACUUAAACUAAAAUUAAAUAAAGUAGACUUAGGGUUAAGUUUA
RNAcentral lists this long non-coding RNA (683 nucleotides) under Nicotiana benthamiana. RNAcentral describes it as "long non-coding RNA (NBEN_LNC015985)". Lineage: Eukaryota; Viridiplantae; Streptophyta; Magnoliopsida; Solanales; Solanaceae. The record is from RNAcentral.